GACGAACGCUGGCGGCGUGCCUAACACAUGCAAGUCGAACGGAAGUAAGAGCUUCGGUUUUUACUUUAGUGGCGAACGGGUGAGUAACGCGUGAGGAACCUGCCUUUCAGUGGGGGACAACAGUUGGAAACGACUGCUAAUACCGCAUAAUGCUUCCGAUCCGCAUGGAUUGGAAACCAAAGCUUUAUGUGCUGAAAGAUGGCCUCGCGUCUGAUUAGCUAGUUGGUGAGGUAAUGGCUCACCAAGGCGACGAUCAGUAGCCGGCCUGAGAGGGUGAACGGCCACAUUGGGACUGAGACACGGCCCAA
Molecule: ribosomal RNA, 308 nt
Filed under: uncultured bacterium
Lineage: Bacteria
Description: bacterial SSU rRNA
Rfam family: Bacterial small subunit ribosomal RNA
Source: RNAcentral